GAAAUAUGAUACCCAAAAAUAAGCUUCUAACUUAGUUUUUAAGCGGUGUAAUUCCGUUUAUAUUUCU
This 67-nucleotide transfer RNA is filed under the name Loberonotha olivascens. RNAcentral's name for it is "tRNA-Ser". The record is from RNAcentral. Lineage: Eukaryota; Metazoa; Arthropoda; Insecta; Coleoptera; Erotylidae.